RNAcentral lists this ribosomal RNA (103 nucleotides) under uncultured bacterium. RNAcentral's name for it is "partial 16S ribosomal RNA". It matches the Rfam family "Bacterial small subunit ribosomal RNA", at positions 1367 to 1482 of the family's 1533-position model. The record is from RNAcentral.
UACGUUCCCGGGUCUUGUACACACCGCCCGUCAUACCACGAAAGUCAGUAGCACCCGAAGUGUCGCCUUGAGCGACCCGAAGGUGAGAUUGAUGAUUGGGGUA